This 27-nucleotide non-coding RNA is filed under the name Mus musculus (house mouse). Lineage: Eukaryota; Metazoa; Chordata; Mammalia; Rodentia; Muridae. The record is from RNAcentral.
UGUGAAGGCUACCACCACAAUAGGUCC